AACUAUACAUUAAAGUUAACAAUACAUUGUAUACUCCAGUUACUAUAAUCUAAAUAUCAAUAAUAUAGGAAAUAUAAAUAACAUUGAGGCGCCUAUCCAAAUUCAAGCAAAUAAUGGAGACCGAAAUGAGCCACUUGACCUACCUCAAAACGAAAGUAUGCUUUAGAAUAUUUCUAUAAGUAAAAUGUAGGAGUGUCGUCCUUGGGUGGUUUCUC
Molecule: long non-coding RNA, 215 nt
Organism: Myzus persicae (green peach aphid)
Lineage: Eukaryota; Metazoa; Arthropoda; Insecta; Hemiptera; Aphididae
Exons: 2
Source: RefSeq, a predicted model, not a curated record